UCGGAUAUGGUGUAACGGCUAACAUUGCCGCCUCUCAAGUGUCUCGCGGCAGUUCGAGGUUCGAUUCCCCCGUAUCCGAA
RNAcentral lists this transfer RNA (80 nucleotides) under Armillaria gallica. RNAcentral's name for it is "tRNA-Glu". It matches the Rfam family "tRNA". From Rfam's summary of the family: Transfer RNA (tRNA) molecules are approximately 80 nucleotides in length. The record is from RNAcentral. Lineage: Eukaryota; Fungi; Basidiomycota; Agaricomycetes; Agaricales; Physalacriaceae.